CCUACGGGGGGCAGCAGUGGGGAAUAUUGCACAAUGGGCGCAAGCCUGAUGCAGCGACGCCGCGUGAGGGAUGACGGCCUUCGGGUUGUAAACCUCUGUUAGCAUCGAAGAAGCGAAAGUGACGGUAGGUGCAGAGAAAGCGCCGGCUAACUACGUGCCAGCAGCCGCGGUAAUACGUGGGGCGCGAGCGUUGUCCGGAAUUAGUGGGCGUAAAGAGCUUGUAGGCGGUUGGUCGCGUCCUCUGUGAAAGGCUGGGGCUUAACCCUGGUUUUGCAGGGGGUACGGGCUAACUAGAGUGCAGUAGGGCAGACUGGAAUUCCUGGUGUAGCGGUGGAAUGCCCAGAUAUCAGGAGGAACACCGAUGGCGAAGGCAGGUCUCUGGGCUGUAACUGACGCUGAGAAGCGAAAGCAUGGGGAGCGAACAGGAUUAGAUACGUGAGUAAUC
This 445-nucleotide ribosomal RNA is filed under the name uncultured Rothia sp. RNAcentral's name for it is "bacterial SSU rRNA". It matches the Rfam family "Bacterial small subunit ribosomal RNA", at positions 338 to 795 of the family's 1533-position model. Lineage: Bacteria; Bacillati; Actinomycetota; Actinomycetes; Micrococcales; Micrococcaceae. The record is from RNAcentral.